RNAcentral lists this ribosomal RNA (253 nucleotides) under uncultured prokaryote. RNAcentral describes it as "partial 16S ribosomal RNA". It matches the Rfam family "Bacterial small subunit ribosomal RNA", at positions 524 to 776 of the family's 1533-position model. The record is from RNAcentral.
UACGGAGGGUGCAAACGUUGCUCGGAAUCAUUGGGCGUAAAGCGCACGUAGGCGGCCGACUAAGUCGGGUGUGAAAUCUCGGGGCUUAACUCCGAAACUGCAUUCGAUACUGCCGUGCUUGAGGACUGGAGAGGAGACUGGAAUUUACGGUGUAGCGGUGAAAUGCGUAGAUAUCGUAAGGAAGACCAGUGGCGAAGGCGGGUCUCUGGACAGUUCCUGACGCUGAGGCACGAAGGUCAGGGGAGCAAACGGG